GCAGCUGUUUCAUUCGGUGUUUCGGCAAUGCUUGACGGGCAUAACAUGCUUGUUGGGGGUUGUAGUUCGCUGAUUGGAAUUGUUGCUCAUUGUACGUGGUGGUGCAUGAGUCGUAUCACGAUCGUUUGGGUAGGCAGGCUCCGUGCUCGCGCAUGGAAUUGCUUCCCCGCGAUCCUUUCAGUCCUAGCCCAAGUGAAUGUUUUGUAAGUGGGCAAAUGUCGGGUUCCUGUGUUGCAUACCCACACUAGUG
Molecule: long non-coding RNA, 250 nt
Filed under: Ricinus communis (castor bean)
Lineage: Eukaryota; Viridiplantae; Streptophyta; Magnoliopsida; Malpighiales; Euphorbiaceae
Description: long non-coding RNA (RCOM_LNC003772)
Source: RNAcentral